UCAAUUUCAACUCAGACCCUAUUAAGUACUAUUAAUGCAUAGUACUGAUCGUAUUAUUUUUUCUUGAUGGUGGAUGCGGAUUUGCGAGAGGGCAAAGUAAAUUAAGCAAAAAAUGCAGAGCAAUCUGUACAAGGUCCUUCAGCUGCUUGUGGUCAAUAAAAUUGUUCAAAGUUGCUGGAGGAUUUGAGGCAUUCGUCACAGGGAAGACAACGAGCGUACAACAAAUAGACGUGUAGCCUUGAGAGGCUGAACCCGACUACAAGACCAACAACGUGUGUUUACUUUUGUCAAGGCAUCAUUGUAACAUAGGUUCUCGAUGUGGUUGUUCAUAUCAUGUUCUCCCUUUCUGAGAGGCAAAUGGAACAUCGAGUGGUUUGGAUCUGGAAGCCCUGGGCUUCUUGCUGCUCGGAUCUUGUUCGAGAGGUUUCCUCCAGCAUUGACAAGUUCGUUAAACCUUGAUGCAGUGAUCAAUGAUGGAUAUGCAAAUGUUUCUGCAGAUAAAGAGCAGAUUUACUGUCUCCACCCAGCUAUCUGUCAAGGAGCCACUUAGAAUGAAAGAGGAAUACAUUGAAGGGAUAUUUGAAUCCCCAAAAGUUAAUGAAGAAAGAAUGCCUGAAUAGCUAAGAGGUGCUUUACUUCAGGCUACUAACACGUUGCAGCAGCUACCUUUUUCCCAUCAGCAGAGAAGCAUUGGCUAAUGGAUUUAAGGUCCCCCCCCCUUGCCAGAACAUUUGACAGGCUGUUUAUGAUAUCUUAUCUCGAUGAAGAGAUCCUGGUAAUAGGUUUACUUCUUAUUGCUGAUAUUAUGGUGCUAGAAAUCUCUUACAUAGUGCAGCAGGCUCAUAUUACUCAGAAUAUCCAGACUUCAUGAUUGCAAUUAUCAUAAAAAAUUUAGCCAACAUAAACAGGAUAAAUUUCAACAUAACUCAUAGUUAUAGUUACACUUAGUAAAGGGGAGUCUGAAUCUGAUAUACAAAUUUUCCAUAAACUAGGAAGAGUCUUGAUUUGUGUCACUCAUCUUGUCCCAUUACUUGUUGCGCUUUGGUUAUUUGUGUGCAGAUUCUACGAGAUACUGAUGGAAUACCCGAAGUCCUUGAUCCCGGGCCAUUGCCUCUAGUAGAACCCGUAUCUGAAUACGAAAGUUGAAGGCACCUAACAUAGCAUAUAUAUCACGCUGUAAAAGGAUAGCCGAAGCAAAACUAUGGCUCAAGUUUUACUUAUAAUAGAAGCUUCUGUAUUUUUAUGAUUAAGUAACUUUCCUUUUCCGCGGAUGCAAUUUGAGAUCAGCUCUUAGCAGUAGUUGAUGCAGGUAACAACUAGCUGUGGUAGUUAGCAGAGUUGGUAAAUAUUGAAGCCUUCUUCCCUUGUUCACAUUUCUUUUUUAGAAAUUGAUUUAAAGUGGAAAAUGGGCAGCUAGUUUCUUGUCAUAUUCAUCUCUAGAAUUUUGGAAAUAUAGGAAACUGUCAAAUGUGAAUCCUGAGUCUCUCUUCAAUGAAAUGUGAUUUACUUUGUUUGA
Salvia hispanica is the source of this 1516-nucleotide non-coding RNA. The record is from RefSeq and is a predicted model, not a curated record. NCBI's taxonomy places the organism in Eukaryota, Viridiplantae, Streptophyta, Magnoliopsida, Lamiales, Lamiaceae.